RNAcentral lists this ribosomal RNA (433 nucleotides) under uncultured bacterium. RNAcentral describes it as "partial 16S ribosomal RNA". It matches the Rfam family "Bacterial small subunit ribosomal RNA", at positions 29 to 507 of the family's 1533-position model. The record is from RNAcentral.
AGCGAACGCUGGCGGCAGGCUUAACACAUGCAAGUCGAGCGGGCCCUUCGGGGUCAGCGGCGGACGGGUGAGUAACGCGUGGGAACGUGCCUUCUGGUUCGGAAUAACUCAGGGAAACUUGAGCUAAUACCGGAUACGCCCUUUUGGGGAAAGGUUUACUGCCGGAAGAUCGGCCCGCGUCUGAUUAGCUAGUUGGUGGGGUAACGGCCUACCAAGGCGACGAUCAGUAGCUGGUCUGAGAGGAUGAUCAGCCACGCUGGGACUGAGACACGGCCCAGACUCCUACGGGAGGCAGCAGUGGGGAAUAUUGGACAAUGGGCGCAAGCCUGAUCCAGCCAUGCCGCGUGAGUGAUGAAGGCCUUAGGGUUGUAAAGCUCUUUUAUCCGGGACGAUAAUGACGGUACCGGAGGAAUAAGCCCCGGCUAACUUCGUG